CUAGCACUUACUCACUCAGUCUCCACUUUUUGCCUUGGGCUGCGUUCAAUCCUCCCUUCAAUUCGGUUGUUUAUCUCCUUUCUUCUCUCAACAGACUCUCUCUCCUCUCUCUAAUGGCGUCGGUUCAAGCAACGAGUUUGACCUCAGCUGUCUGCAGCAAAAAUGGAAGCUCCUUCUUGCCAGGGUUCGAUGUAGUAUUCAGCAAGAAGGAUUUGCUAUUACCUCCUCGUUCUUUAUCAUCGUCGUCAUCAGUCCCUAGAGCCACUUUAACAUUUGAUCCUCCAACUGAUAAUAGUUAUAAAAUCAAGCAGAAGAAACAAACACCUCAUACUCUUGAUCCUUCCUCUCCUGAUUUCCUUCCUCUUCCCUCUUUCGAGCAGUGCUUCCCUAAAAGCACUAAAGAAUUCAGUGAGGUUGUUCACGAAGAAUCAGGUCAUGUUCUCAAAGUUCCUUUUAGAAGGGUCCAUUUGUCUGGAGAUGAGCCUAGCUUUGAUAAUUAUGAUACCAGUGGUCCUCAAAACAUCAGUCCCCGUAUUGGACUUCCAAAACUGCGCAAAGACUGGGUUGACAGGCGGGAGAAGCUAGGUGCACCAAGAUAUACUCAGAUGUAUUAUGCAAAGCAGGGAAUAAUAACUGAGGAAAUGUUGUACUGUGCUGCUCGUGAGAAGCUUGACCCAGAGUUCGUGAGGUCUGAGGUUGCUCGUGGGCGGGCAAUCAUCCCUUCAAACAAGAAUCACCUAGAGUUAGAGCCUAUGAUAGUUGGAAGAAAUUUUCUGGUCAAAGUCAAUGCAAAUAUUGGGAAUUCUGCUGUUGCAAGCUCUAUUGAGGAAGAAGUUUACAAGGUUCAAUGGGCAACCAUGUGGGGCGCUGACACUGUUAUGGACCUUUCGACAGGUCGCCACAUUCAUGAGACCCGUGAAUGGAUCUUACGAAACUCUGCUGUACCAGUAGGGACUGUGCCCAUUUAUCAAGCACUAGAAAAAGUCAAUGGAAUUGCUGAAAAUCUUAGCUGGGAGGUCUUUAGGGAGACAUUGAUUGAACAAGCUGAGCAGGGUGUAGAUUAUUUUACAAUCCAUGCUGGGGUUCUUCUGAGAUACAUCCCUUUGACUGCAAAGCGCAUGACAGGAAUUGUUUCUCGUGGCGGGUCAAUUCAUGCAAAGUGGUGCUUGGCUUACCACAAGGAGAAUUUUGCUUAUGACCACUGGGAUGACAUACUUGACAUCUGUAAUCAAUAUGAUGUUGCCCUGUCAAUUGGUGAUGGGCUGAGACCUGGUUCCAUAUAUGAUGCCAAUGACUCUGCUCAAUUUGCAGAGCUCUUGACUCAAGGGGAACUGACCCGUAGAGCAUGGGAAAAGGAUGUACAGGUGAUGAAUGAGGGACCUGGUCAUAUUCCACUGCACAAAAUCCCUGAGAACAUGCAAAAACAGCUAGAAUGGUGCAAUGAAGCACCUUUCUACACUCUUGGACCUUUGACAACUGAUGUUGCUCCUGGUUAUGAUCAUAUUACUUCUGCCAUUGGUGCAGCCAAUAUUGGGGCUCUCGGCACUGCACUUCUCUGCUAUGUGACACCAAAGGAGCAUCUUGGGUUGCCAAACAGGGAUGAUGUGAAGGCUGGAGUUAUAGCAUAUAAGAUAGCGGCACAUGCUGCUGAUUUGGCCAAAGGUCAUCCUCAUGCUCAAGCCUGGGAUGAUGCAUUAAGCAAGGCCAGAUUUGAGUUCAGAUGGAUGGAUCAGUUUGCUUUAUCCUUGGACCCCAUGACUGCAAUGUCCUUCCACGAUGAAACCCUGCCUGCAGAGGGUGCAAAAGUAGCACAUUUUUGCUCGAUGUGUGGUCCAAAAUUCUGCUCUAUGAAGAUAACAGAGGAUGUGCGGAAGUAUGCAGAGGAGCAUGGUUAUGGUAGUGCAGAGGAAGCUGUCCAGAGUGGAAUGGAUGCCAUGAGUGCUGAGUUCCUGGCUGCUAAGAAAACAAUUAGUGGAGAACAACAUGGUGAAGUCGGUGGAGAAAUCUAUCUGCCAGAAAGUUAUGUUAAAUCCUCUGAGAGGAGCAUAUGAUUACAGGCAUUUGGUUAAAAAAUCUUAGAACCCUGAUGCAUGGCUGGUUUGUGAAGACAAGGGAUAUGCAUCUUUACUUUCAAGAUAUAGAACUGGCCAUUUGGUCAGAGGGUUGAGCAGGUCAGGCUGAGAAAGUCCCUUUGAACCUGAACAGGAUAAUGCCUGCGUAGGGAGUGUGCAUUUUCUUUUCCAUUUUUUCUGUUCUUGCACAGGGUGGCAGCUUCCUAUGGCUCGGGCUAGCUGAACCAUGCCUUGCCUUGCCCAAAGCUUAAUUGGCCAUCAUACCAGGCUUAUCAUGUCAGUGGCUGCAAUGUAACCUAUGGCAGGCAGGUUCUGCAUUCAUUCAAUAUUUUAAAAAGUAAAGAAGCAAAUCAGCCAAUUCAUACUUGAUCGGCCAUUUAUUGGGUUUCUGUCAAUCUAUGGUGAGAUCAUUUGAAGCAAUUUUAACUUGCAUUCCACAAAAUGUGGCGUCUUAUUUGAUAACAAAUAGAAGUCAUAAACUUGAUCAUACUAAUAAAUACAAUAUAGAGCAGCAAGCAUCUAUUCAUUAUUUUCUGAUACAAGGCGCAGGUUUUUCUGGCUACAGCAAAAAACCAUAUAUACAGUAAUGAAAAAAGCCUAGCAAAAGCUUCUUGUUAUUAUUUAUUUGAAGUACUUGAAGAAUAGCCAGCUGCUGCUUCUGAAAGACAUGCUCUUAGUUUUGUAAUUGCUGAACUAAGUUGUGAAUUCUUUUAUCCUAUUUUCUAUUGCCCCAUUGAAGAGAAUUAAUCCCAGUCUAUAACCAAAUUUACAUAA
This is an RNA transcript of Ricinus communis (castor bean), 2846 nucleotides long. It is a transcript of the gene named phosphomethylpyrimidine synthase, chloroplastic, with no coding region annotated. The record is from RefSeq and is a predicted model, not a curated record. Lineage: Eukaryota; Viridiplantae; Streptophyta; Magnoliopsida; Malpighiales; Euphorbiaceae. The transcript has 6 exons.